This 557-nucleotide long non-coding RNA is filed under the name Homo sapiens (human). Its description in RNAcentral is "HSALNT0317977". Lineage: Eukaryota; Metazoa; Chordata; Mammalia; Primates; Hominidae. The record is from RNAcentral.
UGACAGCAUAAUCUUCUGUGACAUCUUAAUCAGCACCCCGGCAACCGACAGAACCCGGACACCAGCAUCACACUCAGCGCUCCGGGAGCCAGCAGGGCCUGGAGGGCCCACCUCCUCCUCAGCCUUAACCCUUGCCUGCCCACCCCAACCCCUCGUGGAAUGGGGGGAUGGUGGUUGGUUUUGAAGUCAAACAGAUAUUGUUUCAGCUUUAAGCUUUACCAUGCCACAUUUCUAAACUUCGGUUUCCUAAUCUGUACAGUGGGGAUAAUGAUGCCCGUCCGGCUAGUGUACAAAAUUGGAUGAGGGCAUUGCAAAAGGACGUGAAUGGGCCACAACAUCUAAAGGAACUGGGGCACCUGGGAGUUUUCAUUUCCAUUAUUUCACUUGGAGCCAGUGGUUUUCAGAGCGGGGGGCCAGUGGCACCACAGAGCUGCCUGGAUAAAAAUAGAGUUGCUGUGAAGAUGAAGUAAAUGAAGACAUGCUGAGAACUCAGAACAACGCUUGGCAACAGUAAUUGUUUAAUACGUGCUAUUAUUAACAAGUAAUAGUCUUUCCCA